GAUGAACGCCGGCGGCGUGCCUAAUACAUGCAAGUCGAGCGAAUGGAUUAAGAGCUUGCUCUUAUGAAGUUAGCGGCGGACGGGUGAGUAACACGUGGGUAACCUGCCCAUAAGACUGGGAUAGCUCCGGGAAACCGGGGCUAAUACCGGAUAACAUUUUGAACCGCAUGGUUCGAAAUUGAAAGGCGGCUUCGGCUGUCACUUAUGGAUGGACCCGCGUCGCAUUAGCUAGUUGGUGAGGUAACGGCUCACCAAGGCAACGAUGCGUAGCCGACCGGAGAGGGUGAUGGGCCACACUGGAACGGGGAAAGUGCCCAGGCGCCUACGGGAGGCAGCAGUAGGGAAUCUUCCGCAAUGGACGAAAGUCUGACGGAGCAACGCCGCGUGGGUGAUGAAGGCGUUCGGGUCGUAAAACUCUGUUGUUAGGGAAGAACAAGUGCUAGUUGAAUAAGCUGGCACCUUGACGGUACCUAACCAGAAAGCCACGGCUAACUACGUGCCAGCCGCCGCCGUAA
This 515-nucleotide ribosomal RNA is filed under the name uncultured bacterium. RNAcentral's name for it is "partial 16S ribosomal RNA". It matches the Rfam family "Bacterial small subunit ribosomal RNA", at positions 28 to 523 of the family's 1533-position model. The record is from RNAcentral.